AUUGAACGCUGGCGGCAGGCUUAACACAUGCAAGUCGAGCGGGGUGAUGGUGCUUGCACUAUCACUUAGCGGCGGACGGGUGAGUAAUGCUUAGGAAUCUGCCUAUUAGUGGGGGACAACAUCUCGAAAGGGAUGCUAAUACCGCAUACGUCCUACGGGAGAAAGCAGGGGAUCACUUGUGACCUUGCGCUAAUAGAUGAGCCUAAGUCGGAUUAGCUAGUUGGUGGGGUAAAGGCCGACCAAGGCGACGAUCUGUAGCGGGUCUGAGAGGAUGAUCCGCCACACUGGGACUGAGACACGGCCCAGACUCCUACGGGAGGCAGCAGUGGGGAAUAUUGGACAAUGGGGGGAACCCUGAUCCAGCCAUGCCGCGUGUGUGAAGAAGGUCUUCGGAUUGUAAAGCACUUUAAGUUGGGAGGAAGGGCAGUAAGCUAAUACCUUGCUGUUUUGACGUUACCGACAGAAUAAGCACCGGCUAACUCUGUGCCAGCCGCCGCUGUAA
RNAcentral lists this ribosomal RNA (502 nucleotides) under uncultured bacterium. RNAcentral describes it as "partial 16S ribosomal RNA". It matches the Rfam family "Bacterial small subunit ribosomal RNA", at positions 30 to 523 of the family's 1533-position model. The record is from RNAcentral.